This 347-nucleotide unclassified non-coding RNA is filed under the name soil metagenome. RNAcentral's name for it is "partial contains 5.8S ribosomal RNA, internal transcribed spacer 2, and large subunit ribosomal RNA". The stretch from base 1 to 119 matches the Rfam family "5.8S ribosomal RNA", at positions 35 to 154 of the family's 154-position model. The record is from RNAcentral.
GAUGAAGAACGUAGCGAAAUGCGAUAAGUAAUGUGAAUUGCAGAAUUCAGUGAAUCAUCGAAUCUUUGAACGCACAUUGCGCCGCCAGUAUUCUGGCGGGCAUGCCUGUCUGAGCGUCAUUUCAACCCUCAUGCCCCUAGGGCGUGGUGUUGGGGAUCGGCCAAAGCCCGCGAGGGACGGCCGGCCCCUAAAUCUAGUGGCGGACCCGUCGUGGCCUCCUCUGCGAAGUAGUGAUAUUCCGCAUCGGAGAGCGACGAGCCCCUGCCGUUAAACCCCCAACUUUCCAAGGUUGACCUCAGAUCAGGUAGGAAUACCCGCUGAACUUAAGCAUAUCAAUAAGCGGAGGA